Hydra vulgaris (swiftwater hydra) is the source of this 845-nucleotide non-coding RNA. The record is from RefSeq and is a predicted model, not a curated record. NCBI's taxonomy places the organism in Eukaryota, Metazoa, Cnidaria, Hydrozoa, Anthoathecata, Hydridae.
AAUUGGCUUGAGUUUAUACAAAUAAAAACUAAAUUCUCUUCAGUCUAGUCAGUUGCAACAACAAUUAAAGCAGCAGGAAACAGCCAAGUACACAUGCAAGUGAUUGUUAUGAGGAUUGCAAAACUUUUAAAUAUCAGAAACUAAAGAAAGCAUUGAUAAUCAGCAGAUAUCAAAAAAGUGCAAAAGUACUGAUUAUACAACUCUUUUAAAGUUGAGGAAGAAUUUUAUGUUAAUGUUAAUGCAAAAGGUACGAAUAUUGACAGUUAAACCAUCACCACUUCCACAGCCACCUUGUCUCAAGCAUUAAAUCGCAUUCUAAGAUAUCUUUAUUCAAAUUAAGUGUGACUACUUUACCAAAAGACUCUAGAAUGGACCAAGACUUUUUAAAAUCAAAUUUACAAUGUUUUAGUAAAUUUUUAUUUAAAAUAACUUUGUAUACAUAAUAUAUCUAUAUAGUUAUUUACAUAAUAGCUUACCCAUCAGUACUUUCAAAGUCUCCUUUUCUGUAAGCCCAAAAAUUGAGUUCUAUAAUACCAUUAUCCACAUAACUACUAUAUCAAAGUACAAUCUAAUGGAUUGAUCAAAAAAGAGAUUGUAUGACUUCGGUAUCCGCAAUACGGUAUCGUGCAUUGAUUUCCAUCUUAGAAUGGCUCCCUUCCGUAUAGUUUGAAAUAGAAAAGGGCAUACCCUUUUUUCUAAUUCUUAAGACGAAGAGGCUUAAUCGGUUCAAACAAAGAUGACGAUGAUCAUUAUGGAGCCGAUCAUGAUGACGAAUACGAUAAUGCAUAUAUUAAUAAAUAAAAUGAUUUUACUUGUAUCUUAGACUUAAAAAAUUAUUUGUUUAA